AUACGGAGGAUCCGAGCGUUAUUCGGAUUUAUUGGGUUUAAAGGGAGCGUAGGCGGACGCUUAAGUCAGUUGUGAAAGUUUGCGGCUCAACCGUAAAAUUGCAGUUGAUACUGGGUGUCUUGAGUACAGUAGAGGCAGGCGGAAUUCGUGGUGUAGCGGUGGAAUGCUUAUAUAUCACGAAGAACUCCGAUUGCGAAGGCAGCCUGCUGGACUGUAACUGACGCUGAUGCUCGAAGGUGUGGGUAUCAAACAGGAUUAGAUACCCUGGUAGUCCACACAGUAAACGAUGAAUACUCGCUGUUUGCGAUAUACAGUAAGCGGCCAAGCGAAAGCGUUAAGUAUUCCACCUGGGGAGUACGCCGGCAACGGUGAAACUCAAAUGAAUUGACGGGG
RNAcentral lists this ribosomal RNA (393 nucleotides) under uncultured bacterium. RNAcentral describes it as "partial 16S ribosomal RNA". It matches the Rfam family "Bacterial small subunit ribosomal RNA", at positions 523 to 918 of the family's 1533-position model. The record is from RNAcentral.